Molecule: ribosomal RNA, 455 nt
Filed under: Globigerina bulloides
Lineage: Eukaryota; Foraminifera; Rotaliida; Globigerinidae
Description: bacterial SSU rRNA
Rfam family: Eukaryotic small subunit ribosomal RNA
Source: RNAcentral
GCACCACAAGAGCGUGGAGUAUGUGGCUUAAUUUGACUCAACGCGGAAAAGCUUAUCUGGUCCGGACACAGUGAGGAUUGACAGACAGUUGGCAGGAGUGGUUCUUGGUAAAAACAAAUGAGAGAGUUGAAGUUCUUUCAUGAUCUUGUGAGAGGUGGUGCAUGGCCGUUCUUAGUUCGUGUAGUGAUAUGUCUGCCUAAUCGCGUCACGAUAACCUAUUGGUCGACAACCCAAUUAUCACAACUGCAGCAUAACUCCCCUUGGGUGGGCGAGGCUCUGUGUAGGAUAGACCUCUGAACAGUACGCAACGAACGCGAUCGUAAUCCCUUGUUGAGUGGCCAUCCUGUAAGCUGCUGGAUUUGAAACCCAGUGGUAUUAUCUCAGCCACAGAUUUUCUGGUUGUAAUGGGCCAUUUUGAAACUCGGGGAACAUCUGUGACUUUCUUUCUUAACGCA